RNAcentral lists this ribosomal RNA (175 nucleotides) under Cyanaeorchis arundinae. RNAcentral's name for it is "5.8S ribosomal RNA". The stretch from base 3 to 158 matches the Rfam family "5.8S ribosomal RNA". From Rfam's summary of the family: 5.8S ribosomal RNA (5.8S rRNA) is a component of the large subunit of the eukaryotic ribosome. It is transcribed by RNA polymerase I as part of the 45S precursor that also contains 18S and 28S rRNA. RNAcentral also lists the same sequence under 2 other names. Lineage: Eukaryota; Viridiplantae; Streptophyta; Magnoliopsida; Asparagales; Orchidaceae. The record is from RNAcentral.
ACGACUCUCGGCAAUGGAUAUCUCGGCUCUCGCAUCGAUGAAGAGCGCAGCGAAAUGCGAUACGUGGUGCGAAUUGCAGAAUCCCGCGAACCAUCGAGUCUUUGAACGCAAGUUGCGCCCGAGGCCAGCAGGCCAAGGGCACGUCCGCCUGGGCGUCAAGCGUUGCGUCGCUCCG